Trichonephila clavipes is the source of this 76-nucleotide non-coding RNA. Lineage: Eukaryota; Metazoa; Arthropoda; Arachnida; Araneae; Nephilidae. The record is from the annotation of a GenBank genome assembly.
GGGAGUAUAGCUCUGUGGUAGAGCAUUCGACGGCAGAUCGAGAGGUCCGUCCCCGGUUCAUACCCGGGUGCCCCUU